RNAcentral lists this unclassified non-coding RNA (375 nucleotides) under uncultured bacterium. RNAcentral's name for it is "contains 16S-23S intergenic spacer region". The record is from RNAcentral.
UCCGGUUUGGCACCGGCAGUCUCCCUAGAGUUCCCGGCAUGACCCGCUGGCAACUAGGGACAGGGGUUGCGCUCGUUGCGCCACUUAAGGCAACACCUCACGGCACGAGCUGACGACAGCCAUGCACCACCUGUGCAGGCUCCGAAGAGCGCCCGCUUUCGCGGGUUUCACCCUGCAUGUCGAGCCUUGGUAAGGUUCUUCGCGUUGCGUCGAAUUGAACCACAUGCUCCGCUGCUUGUGCGGGCCCCCGUCAAUUCCUUUGAGUUUCAGCCUUGCGGCCGUACUCCCCAGGCGGAGUGCUUAAUGCGUUAGCUGCAGCACUAAAGGGCGGAAACCCUCUAACACUUAGCACUCAUCGUUUACGGCGUGGACUAC